Molecule: long non-coding RNA, 470 nt
Organism: Xiphophorus hellerii (green swordtail)
Lineage: Eukaryota; Metazoa; Chordata; Actinopteri; Cyprinodontiformes; Poeciliidae
Exons: 4
Source: RefSeq, a predicted model, not a curated record
CAGGGAAGAACUCAUCUGAAUCCUGGACAAUGCUGGGCCUUUGCAGGAUUCCCAGGACGUUUAUCCGUCCAACUGUCCCACAAAGCAACUGUCACUCAUGUGUCGCUGGGUCAUAUUCCUAAGAUAAUAUCCCCAUCUUCCACAAUCUCCAGUGCUCCGAGGGAAUUCUUUGUCUAUGGAAAGAAGGACAUAAAUGAUGAGGAGAGUUUCUUGGGAGCUUUCCAAUAUGAAGAAGAUGGCAGCAGGAUACAAACCUUCAAACUUCCUGAUUAUAAAACUGACUCCUUCACCCAUGUGAGCCUACAGCCAGUCAGCCUCGGCAGAUGGCUGUUCAUCCUGAGCCUGGUUCUGCUGGAGGUUUCUUCCUUUUAAAGGGAGUUAUCCUCUCCACUGUUGCCUUGUGCUUGCUCAGGAUGGGGGAUCCCUUGGAUUAAACAUCCAUCGCGAUCGGCUGGUGACCCCUCCGCAGA